This 490-nucleotide ribosomal RNA is filed under the name uncultured bacterium. RNAcentral describes it as "partial 16S ribosomal RNA". It matches the Rfam family "Bacterial small subunit ribosomal RNA", at positions 28 to 507 of the family's 1533-position model. The record is from RNAcentral.
GAUGAACGCUAGCGAUAGGCUUAACACAUGCAAGUCGAGGGGCAGCAUGGUCUUAGCUUGCUAAGACUGAUGGCGACCGGCGCACGGGUGCGUAACGCGUAUGCAACUUGCCUCACAGAGGGGGAUAACCCGUCGAAAGACGGACUAAUACCGCGUACACUCCAUCUUGGGCAUCCAAGGUAGAGGAAAUGAAAUUCGCUGUGAGAUAGGCAUGCGUCCCAUUAGCUAGUUGGUGAGGUAACGGCUCACCAAGGCGACGAUGGGUAGGGGAACUGAGAGGUUGAACCCCCACACUGGUACUGAGACACGGACCAGACUCCUACGGGAGGCAGCAGUGAGGAAUAUUGGUCAAUGGGCGAGAGCCUGAACCAGCCAAGUCGCGUGAAGGAUGACUGUCUUAUGGAUUGUAAACUUCUUUUAUACGGGAAUAACAAGAGUCACGUGUGGCUCCCUGCAUGUACCGUAUGAAUAAGCAUCGGCUAACUCCGUG